AGGCCACUGGCUCAAUUGGUAGAGCUCCGGAUUCCAAAUCCGGCGGUUGGGGGUUCGAGUCCCUCGUGGCCUG
This 73-nucleotide transfer RNA is filed under the name Bradymonas sediminis. It matches the Rfam family "tRNA". Rfam says of the family: Transfer RNA (tRNA) molecules are approximately 80 nucleotides in length. Their secondary structure includes four short double-helical elements and three loops (D, anti-codon, and T loops). Further hydrogen bonds mediate the characteristic L-shaped molecular structure. tRNAs have two regions of fundamental functional importance: the anti-codon, which is responsible for specific mRNA codon recognition, and the 3' end, to which the tRNAs corresponding amino acid is attached (by aminoacyl-tRNA synthetases). tRNAs cope with the degeneracy of the genetic code in two manners: having more than one tRNA (with a specific anti-codon) for a particular amino acid; and 'wobble' base-pairing, i.e. permitting non-standard base-pairing at the 3rd anti-codon position. Lineage: Bacteria; Deltaproteobacteria; Bradymonadales; Bradymonadaceae. The record is from Rfam by way of RNAcentral.